AUCUUAUCAAGAGCAGGUGGAGGGAACAAGCCCUACGAAGCCCGGCAACCGACUUCAAUUACGAAGCACGGUGCUAAGUCUUGCAGUCAUUCGGCUGAGAGAUAAGAA
RNAcentral lists this non-coding RNA (108 nucleotides) under Bacillus solimangrovi. RNAcentral's name for it is "SAM-I sequence". It matches the Rfam family "SAM riboswitch aptamer (S box leader)". From Rfam's summary of the family: The SAM riboswitch is found upstream of a number of genes which code for proteins involved in methionine or cysteine biosynthesis in Gram-positive bacteria. The SAM riboswitch acts at the level of transcription termination control. The record is from Rfam by way of RNAcentral. Lineage: Bacteria; Bacillati; Bacillota; Bacilli; Caryophanales; Bacillaceae.